GAUGAACGCUGGCGGCGUGCCUAACACAUGCAAGUCGAGCGAACAGACGAGGAGCUUGCUCCUCUGACGUUAGCGGCGGACGGGUGAGUAACACGUGGAUAACCCACCUAUAAGACUGGGAUAACUUCGGGAAACCGGAGCUAAUACCGGAUAAUAUAUUGAACCGCAUGGUUCAAUAGUGAAAGACGGUUUUGCUGUCACUUAUAGAUGGAUCCGCGCCGCAUUAGCUAGUUGGUAAGGUAACGGCUUACCAAGGCAACGAUGCUUAGCCGACCUGAGAGGGUGAUCGGCCACACUGGAACUGAGACACGGCCCAGACUCCUACGGGAGGCAGCAGUAGGGAAUCUUCCGCAAUGGGCGAAAGCCUGACGGAGCAACGCCGCGUGAGUGAUGAAGGUCUUCGGAUCGUAAAACUCUGUUAUUAGGGAAGAACAAAUGUGUAAGUAACUAUGCACGUCUUGACGGUACCUAAGCAGAAAGCCACGGCUAACUACGU
Molecule: ribosomal RNA, 496 nt
Filed under: uncultured bacterium
Lineage: Bacteria
Description: partial 16S ribosomal RNA
Rfam family: Bacterial small subunit ribosomal RNA
Source: RNAcentral